Molecule: long non-coding RNA, 1254 nt
Filed under: Homo sapiens (human)
Lineage: Eukaryota; Metazoa; Chordata; Mammalia; Primates; Hominidae
Description: HSALNT0401705
Source: RNAcentral
CUGACCUCGUGAUCCGCCUGCCUCGGCCUCCCAAAGUGCUGGGAUUACAGGCGUGAGCCACCGCGCCCGGCCGCUGCUUUAAGUUCUUAACACGUCCUCACCGCGGCUCAGCUCACUGUACGGCCCCUGCAUAGAGAGGGGAGGGCAGGGGCCAUGAUACUGAACUCACAGCUCUGGGCAUUUCUGAAGUCUGGCCCUUGAAGCUUUUCCUAGAGCAAAUUGUUUUCUUCUCCCCUUCAGGAAACUGAAAAUUCACACAGCAGCCGUGGGAGUCAGAGUAGCAAAGGCUUUGAGAUCACAUAGACCUGGGACACGUGCUUGCUUUGUGAUUACGGGUGCGGGGACUGCUUGCCAACCCAUGGCAACUCACCUGUAGCGCAUGGAGAUUUGGGGGUAAACCCAGUGAUGCUGAGUAUGUGGGCUGCCCAAGCUGGGUGGCAACCAACCCCAGCAUUGAAUGUGCUGAGAGCUGGACCGGUGGAUGUCCCCACUGCCCUGAGGCAGGUCCAGGAGAAGGCUCCUACCUGCUGUGCAGAGGGCAAGCCCCAAGUCAAGACUCCCAAAAUGUUACCAGAUGUCAGGCAUGAAAUAUACACCCCUGGCAAGCUCUGCCAUGCACAGGAGUCAUGCUGCUUUCAAUCCACGGGAGAGCCGGACACGAGCGUUCCAAGGCAGGAGCAGAACUCCAUGUUGGCCAUUAUAAAGACAAGAUUCCUUUUCCCCCGCUUUUUAUAGCCUCUCUGGGUAAGAUGUGUCUGGAAGGAGGUGUGGGCCAGGAAAGAGCAUAUGUCUGAUGCCUGGGAUUCCAGGACAGAAAGUACAGCCGACUCCAAGCUCUUGGGAUGGGAUUGGAGGGUCUCAAAACCUUGCCAGCUUUGGAGUCAGAGAGAAAAGAGUCCCAACCCCAGAUUUAUCAUUUGCUAACAAAUGUGACCUUGGGCAAAUCAGCUCACCUCUCUGGCCCUCAACAGAGAUAAUCCUGGGACCUAUUUCACAGUCAUGGAGAGGAUUAAAUGGGAAGAGGAAUAAAAGGAGUUUGGAGAAGUGCCCAGGACAUAGUAUGCACUGAGCAAAUUCCGUAGUAAGAGGAGUAUUAGUAAUAGCUACUAUUGAUUAGGUGGUGUUGUGAGUUGAACAGUGUUCCCCCAAAAUUCAUGUCCACCCAGAGACACAGAAUGUGACCAUUUGUGGAAAUAGGGUCUUUGCAAAUGUAAUUAGUUAAGAUGAGGUCAUACUAGAUUAGGGUAGGCCCUA